RNAcentral lists this unclassified non-coding RNA (336 nucleotides) under soil metagenome. RNAcentral's name for it is "partial contains 5.8S ribosomal RNA, internal transcribed spacer 2, and large subunit ribosomal RNA". The stretch from base 1 to 120 matches the Rfam family "5.8S ribosomal RNA", at positions 35 to 154 of the family's 154-position model. The record is from RNAcentral.
GAUGAAGAACGCAGCGAAAUGCGAUAAGUAAUGUGAAUUGCAGAAUUCAGUGAAUCAUCGAAUCUUUGAACGCACAUUGCGCCCGCCAGUAUUCUGGCGGGCAUGCCUGUUCGAGCGUCAUUUCAACCAUCAAGCCCCCGGCUUGUGUUGGGGACCUGCGGCUGCCGCGGGCCCUGAAAAGCAGUGGCGGGCUCGCUGUCACACCGAGCGUAGUAGAUUUCAUCUCGCUCAGGGCGUGCUGCGGGUUCCGGCCGUUAAACCACCUUCAUAACCCAAGGUUGACCUCGGAUCAGGUAGGAAGACCCGCUGAACUUAAGCAUAUCAAUAAGCGGAGGA